RNAcentral lists this long non-coding RNA (43675 nucleotides) under Lathyrus oleraceus (garden pea). RNAcentral's name for it is "Pisum sativum (pea) long non-coding RNA (PSAT_LNC034224)". The record is from RNAcentral. Lineage: Eukaryota; Viridiplantae; Streptophyta; Magnoliopsida; Fabales; Fabaceae.
GUAACAACGGUAAAUACAUAAUAUUUACCGUAUUACCAGUACUUUCUGGAAAUAAAAAAUUAUCAAAUAAAAUUAUAAUAUAACACCGAGCUUUAAUUAUUUUUUCGUACUCGGUUGAUUCUUCGGUCAAUAUUAUACUCACAUAAUAUUGUUUGAGAUAUUUUAAAUUUAUACCUUGCCCCCUAGCUUGACCAGAUGUCUCUCCCUUAGCUUGGUCAUCACACAAAGAGGCAUCCAAUAAUUCAUUGCAAAUAGAGUUAUCCUGGUUAACUCUACCAUUCACGGUCUUACCAUCGAUACGUAGGCCCAACAACAUGUAAACAUCCUCAAGUGUGACGGUACAUUCACCGAAAGGAAUGUGAAAUGUGUGGGUCUCGGGUAUCCAUCUCUCCAAAGAAGCAAGAAUAAAUUUGUAGUCAACCGAGUACGAGACUAUGUUGAGGAGAUUUCCAAAACCAUAUCCUCUAAUAUAUGGCUCUAUCAAAGGAUCGUGGGAUACAUAUUCAUGUACACGACAUCGAAAUCGUUUUGGGUCCUAAUAAAACAUAAUUAAGAAAUAAAAUAAGAAGAAGUAAUAUAAAAUAAAUACAAAAUAAGUACAAAAUAAAUACGAAAUAAGUAAAACGAGAGUAAAAACAUACAAAUGUCAAGAUAUUGUCGAUUAUUCCUCGGUGUUCAUCACCCAUGGUCAAUAGAGACAUAAUGUUGCAGAGGUUGAGUGUUGUAGAGGUUGAGUGUGGUAAAUAUGGAGUGUUGCAGAGAUUGAUUAUUAGUGUUGUAGAUGAUGAGAUGUUGUGACUUGAUGCCCUAUUUACAAAUGAGUAAGUGUUGAAUAGGUUGAAUAAGUACGCAGCAUGUGAAGCAUUGCAUUGGAUGCAUGUGACAAGAGAGUAGGCGCCUAAGGCUAUGACGCAUGCUUGCUUUAUGACAUGCAUGGUCACAUGUUCCAAGGCUAGUGGCGCAUGCAUGUAUUUUUUUGCAUGCAAUGAAGAGGCGCCAAAGGCAUGGGCGCCUAGGUUGCUUUAUGCGCCAUUGGAAUGGGCGCCUACUUUGGAUUAUUAGAGCAUAGAUUCCUUGUGAGAUUCCUUGUGUGCAGGCGUAUGUUUUGUGUGCAGAGAUUCUACCAGGCGCAUGCAUUGUAUUAUCUUGUCUCUGCAUGGAUUCUUUGCAUUACAUUGUCUUGUCUUUGCAGAUGAAUUGCGUAAUUAGCGCAUACACCAUUUACCCUAUUUAAUUGCUUGUGAGUAACAGAUCAAUGCAUUCACCAUUAGUAGAAACACUAAAGUUACAUUUAAAAAAAUAUCUUCCUCACCAUAUUACAUGAUCAGUGCCCAUACCGAAGGUGAAAUAUUUGAGCAUUAAUUAUUCAUUUUUUGUUUUCACAACACAAAAGUAACUCGGUUUACAAUAAAUCGACGAUAAAAUUUUUCACACCUGAAACAAAGAAUAGAAAAGAAAUUGAAGUGUAGUCCUAUGGGCCAAAUCAUCUAUAAAAAUCCGGUGUGGUUUGCAGACAACCAGGUCAAGUUUUAUCAGAAGAAGAUUCGAGAUGAUGACUAUGUUCAUCAUAUGUUUGUCAGUCACGAGCAAUCUGGGUACAACGAUAUAGAGUUGUAUAUAUUACCACAACAACAACAAGUGUCCCAGUUCAUUGAUCAGUCAGAAGUGUUUUGUGAAACCGAUGACGGAGAACAAGUUGAGGUCAAUGUUAUAGAUGAGGAAGAAGAAAAAGCCGGGAUUUUGGUUGAUUCAAUAUUGAACGCUGAUGAAGAAGAGGGAUCCAUUACUAGCUAGUCAUGUAUACUGUCCACCUCAACACAUGACAAACUUGAAUUUGGGUUCCGGUGAACCUUUAUCAGAUAUAUUUUAUAAUCCUUAUGUGCAAAUACAAGGAUCUUUGAAAGAAGGAGACACAUUUCGCACAAAAGAAUAUUGUGUAAAGACUAUUAAAAAGUUUCACAUGGAACUAUCAACUGAUUACAGAGUUGAUAGAACUAAUGCAUUGAGGUACAAAAUUUAUUAUCGCAACGAGCAAUGUCUUUUCAGGUUGUCAGCUUCAUAUCGGAAAAGGAGUGAUUCUUGGGAGAUUGGAUCCAUGGGUCCAUUUCACACAUGGUUGCUCACGAACCCAACUCAAGAACAUCGGAAACUUAGCUCUCAGUUAAUAUGCGAUGAAAGUUUAUUUGUCAUUAGCGACAAUUCGUCGUUAAAGGUAAGUACAAUAAUCUCGCAUAUUGUAGCACAAUAAAAGUAUAUGCCACCAUAUAGGAAGGUUGGAUAGCUAUGACAAAGGCGGUUGAAAAAGUGUAUGGAAAUUGGGAGGAGUCUUACAAACAACUUCCAAAAUACCUGUUGGCUCUUAACCAAUAUGCUCCAAGGAUUAUAGUCAAGUUGGAAACGUUGUCGGCAUAUACACCAGACAGGACUUAUGCUAUUGGAAAUGGAAUAUUCCAUCGUCUCUUUAGGGCGUAUCAACCAUGCAUCAAAGGUUUUUCUUUAUAUAAGCCUAUUAUACAAAUUGAUGGUACAUGGUUGUAUGGGAAAUAUAAAGGAACGCUACUGAUGGCAGUGGCACAAGAUGGCAACAACAAUAUUUUUCCAAUCGCCUUUACCCUUGUUGAAGGGGAGACUGCUGAGGGAUGAAGUUUUUUCCUAAGAAAUCUCUGAUUGCACGUUGCUCCUCAACCUAACUAUGUUUGAUCUCUAACCGACACCCUUCAAUAGUCAAUGCAUACAAAAACAUUGAUAAUGGCAAGUAGGAUCCUCCGCCGACACAUGUCUUCUGCAUCAGACAUAUCGCUCAGAAUUUUAUGCGGGAGAUCAAAGACAAAACCUUGCGGAAGAAGGUUGUCAAUGCAUGUUACACAUUAUCAGAACCUUCUUUCAAACACUACCGUGAAGAAAUAAGAUUGUCAAAAGAAGAUGCAGUACAAUGGAUCGACAAUAUUCCAUUGGAGAAGUGGACUAGGGCAUACGAAAAUAGUCAACAUUGGGGCCACAUGACAACAAAUCUUGUGGAAUCAAUAAACUCUGUCUUCAAAGGCAUUUGAAACCUACCUGUAACCGCUUUGAUGCAGGCAACAUAUUUCAGGCUAGGGGCGAUGUUUGAGACCAGAGGUUCCAAAUGGAGUUCAGUGUUGCAAUCUAGGCAGUUGUUCAGUGAUGCUUCAAUGAAAUUCGUUAGACAGGAAGUUGCCAAAGCAAACACACACGUGGUCACGGUUUUCGACCGCACUAAAGGUUGGUACAGUGUUGUUGAGUCCAUGGAUCAUAAUGAAGGCAUACCGAUGGGACAAUAUAGAGUGGAACUAGAUAGAGGUUGGUGCGACUGCGGAAAGUUCCAAGCCUUUCGUACAUCCUACUCCCAUGUCAUUGCGGCAUAUCCAAAUGUUCGAAGGGACCCAUCUUACUUACUAUCUGACGUUUACAAAGCCAUAAGCCUAUCCAAUGUUUACAAAAUUAGGUUUUUAGUAAUUGCAAAAGAGGAUUACUGACCUGAAUAUCAAGGGGACAUUGUCUGGCACAAUGAAGUUAUGCGAAGAAAGAAAAAGGGUCACCCAAACAACACCCAUAUUCGAAGCAAAAUCGAUAUGGCGAACAAAAUGGUUUGAUUAUGUAGUUCAUGUCGUCAGCCAAGUCACAAUCGUACUAACUGUCCUAGUGUUGGAACGAGCUCAACAAGAUAAUUUUAAAUGUACCUCUUUUGCAAUAUAUAAAAAAAAUUGUUUACAUAUGAUAAUUGUGUGAGAAAAUACCAUCACAAACAAAUACAACACAUUCAACACACAAGUAACACAUAAACAACCACAAAAACAACUACAAUAAUUAAAAUACCAUUACUAUAACUAAGCGAUUACAACCAUCAAAAUAAUUUUGAACAUAUUAUGCACCAUCUGCGAAUGUCUAUGUGGGUCUUAAUAUCCACUCAUUCACGCACUUCUCCAUUUUGGUUGAACGUAGACUCAAACCAUUGAAUCCUUCUAAUCCUUUAACCAUCCGCAAUUUCCUCUUCUAACCAACGGCCCAACGUCCGAUUAAGACUUUCUAACGACUCUAUAUUCCAAAGUCGAAUCUUUAUCGAAGGUGCGAUGACGGAAAAGAUUAAAUCGAUAUUUCUCUUGUGAAUGUGAAAAGACAUGGUUAAAAAUCAAAAAGAGAAUGAGAUUGAAGUAGAAUGAAAAAAAAUAUGGUUGGAGGGUAAAAAUUGUGUGAAAAAAUAUGGGAGAUGAGCGAGGCAUUUAUAGAUAAAGUUGUCAAUGCAUGCGCCAAAGGACCACAAAAGGACCGCAAAUUAGAAGCACAUGCAUGCGCCAGAAGGAUCCUUCUGGCGCAUGACACAUGCAUGCGCCAACAAUCUUAGCGCCUCCAUGCAAUGCUUUGAAAGCAUGCACCAAUGGUGUUGGCAUCUCCUCUUCAUGUUAAAUGGAUGCGCCAGUUGAUCUGGUGCAUCUAUUUAAAAAGGUGGUUAAUUUAAAUAACGUGGUUAUUUUUUUAAAAAAUUAUUUGAGUAUUUGGUUGAAAAAAUCAAACACAAUAGUCAAAAUUUUGCCGAAUGCUUUAUGUGUAAUAUAUAUAUAUAUAUAUAUAUAUAUAUAUAUAUAAUAUAAUUUGGAAUUUAGUGUACAAUUUAUGCAUAAAAUCCAAACUUGUAACAUAACUCUCACUAUCAUUCAAUGACUCGUGUAAGACCAUAAAUAAUAUAGAAGUUCAAAGAGAUACACACAUACAUUGAUACAUAUCCAUUUUCUACACUCCAAGCAAAAAUUAGGCAAUGUCAAUCUGCCAUUCUUAGAUAUAUAUCUCAUCUUAGCAACCACAUGUGGAGCAUGAUUAAAAGCAAAAAUGGAUAUAAUUUCAUUAUUAAACCAUUGUUUGAUUUGAUGUGUCAUUGUCUUAUAUUUGUUUUUUAUCUAUAAAAAAUUACAUAUAACAAACUAAUGCUUAUGAGACUUUCUAAUAGCAUGAAACAAGAAAACUGUGUGGGCAAUUUAAAUAUAUAUCUUUUGUAUUUUGCUUAAUUCUUCUAAUAUUUGGUAGAAUACAUUUGCUUGUUAAUAAAUUAAUAGGGAUUUUGUUUUUAGCAUUAAAAGUUAAUUGAAGUAGAAAUUUGAGCAUUCUUUGCUGUUAUGAUUAAAAUGGGGACAUGAUUGGUGUUGGUUUGCCAUAAAUAAAAACAAAACUUAAAUCUUGCCAAAAUAGAUUUUCUCACUCUAAAACACUAUAAAAAGUAUGAUUUUUAAGUUAUGGUAUGCAUUUAUGAUUGUGAUCAUAAUAUUAUUUUUUUGAUUUUUUUAAAUAAUUAUGUAUUUUUUUUUAAAAUUUAAAUUAAUUAUAUUUUCAAAAAAAAAAUCAAAGAAGUAAUUAUGUUUCAUACUAAAAGAAUUUGUCCAUAACAGGAGUAGUCAGAGGGUGGUGCAUGAACUCAAUUUUUGUAGAUAGGCGUCAUAGGGCAUGGUGCAUGCUUAUAUGACAUGCCAUUGCAUGUGGCGGAUGCAUCCAUCCUCUAGGAGCAUGCGCCACAAGCAGUGGCUACUAUCUUGUGUCUGGGCUGACGACAUGAACUACAUAAUCUCACCAUUUUAUUCGUCGUAUUCGUUUUGAACGUUUUAUUCUUGCGUUUAUUUUUUGCUCCAAACACGGGAUUGAUCGAGAAUGUCGUCACUCUCCCCCAUUAACGAGAAUAGCUUCGAGUUCCUCUUCACAACAAAGUAAGUUUGUCUCAUUAUUUCCACUUGCUUACUUUAUACUACAACAAACUGUAAAUAAUUUAUUUUCACUCUUUUCAGUUUAGAUGAUCUGUUCUAGGGAUGAAGUACAAUAAUUGUCCCAAACACAUUAUAAUAGUCUAUCAAAAACUUAUAGAGCACCUUGGACCAAACAAUGUAUUACAACUAAAUAACUCAUUAGAAGCUAAAUUUAGUUUUAAUAUUAUCAAUUUACAAAUCUUCUAAUCAUGUAUUUUUUUCUAUACAGUUUAUUUGGAGAUCGUAUUUGGGUCUCAACCAUGAGGUUAACCCCGAUGAUGUUGUAGUUUGGACUGCAAAAAAAACAAUCAUCAGGUUCAGAACUAUGGAGAUGCACCAGAGUGACUGUGUCAAACUGCAGUUCGGCAUGCAACAAUAAAUCCCUGAUCCUCCGACGUGUUUCGAAUAAUGACAUCAACUAAGAGUCGAUGCCCAAUGGAGUUAUUCCGAUUGGAGAGAGUUUGUUAGGGAGAUGUUUCAUCAAUUGUAGAAUGUACAUCAGCAAAUCAUAAAUAAACCUAUCAUGCAUAAUGUUAUACCAACUCAAAAUUAUAUGAAUUGGUAUAGGUCGUUUAUAAUGACACAAUUUGUGUCUGACCCGAGGUAUUUGAUCGACCCAUACCAACGAGUUUCGUCAUCAUACGACCAAUAAAAAACCCCCGCCCAACAACUAACCCCACACCAUUACCAAAACCAACAACAAUUUCAACCUACCUAAUCACAACAUCAUCAUACCAGAAACACCCAACCACCAAUUGAACAUGAUUACAAACCCACACACCAUACAUCCACCUAAACCCGCAAUCAAUUCAUGCUAGACACCCAAACACAAAACCAAGAGCAUGAACCUUACCACCAACAACCAUAUGCUACCAUCACAUCUUACUAUAACCCCGAUAAUGAAUAUGAUUCCACCUCAUCCCACCAUAACCUCAACCUAUGUACACCUAAACAUCACAUCACCAAAGCAUUCAAAUAUCACACCACUAAAGCACCCAACAAACACAUGCCUUUCAAACACCACAAGAACCAUUGCUUCGUUUCUAAAACGAUUCAAUGUCUUAAUUCAACCUACAAACCCUCCCAAAUGCAACCCAACUACGACAACAUGGGCACCGAACACGAUUACAGCAGCACCGACUGUUGGGGGAUAUAAUUGAAAAUUUGUUAGAUAUGUCAGGACCCUCGCACUAAUCCCCUUUGCCUCGGGAGAAUAUUAGGAGACCCAUAGACCUCAUAAAAAUCGCGGGAGACCUCGAAGGCAAGCGAAUGUGUUAGGGUGUGGAACCGGUGGACGUUACGAUCGAGCAAGUCAUUAAAUUUCUAUUCAAUCUUGUUUGAUAAUGUUUAAUGGAAUAAUAUUAUAUUUUUUUUAUUAAACAAUUUAUUUUAUUUUAUUUUAUUGUUAAAAUAAUUUAUAAAAAAACUAAACAACAUAGUAGCCACUGUCUGUUGCGCAUGCUCCUAGAGGAUGCAUGCAUGUGCCACAUAUAGUGGCAUGUUAUAUAAGCAUGUGCCAUGCAUGAUGACGCCUAUGUACAAAAAAUCAGUACGCGUGUCAUACCCUUUGACUACUCUUCUUGUGGGUGGAUUUUUUUUGUUUGAAACAUUGUUACUUUGAUAUUUAUUCUAAAAAUAUGGUUAUUUUGGAUUUUUUUAAACAUGGUUAUUGAAAAAAAAAUAAAAAUUGUGGCAGACUAAGAAAUGGCACUAUAACAAAUUUAUAGUGUGAUUCUUAAAUACGUUAAGUAUUUUAAUUGCAUUAGACUAUUUCAGACUACUUUAAUAAUUUUUUCACUAUUAGAGAAUGCAGGCUUAACUCAAAGCAUCGUAAAAGAAGCAAAAUAUUUUUUUUGAAAGAGUGCGUAUAAAUAUGACAACUGUGCUGAAAUAGGUGUACUAAAGCAAUCUACUAAUAAUAAAAUAUGACAAAUUAAACAUGAUUUCUAUGCACUACUAUAGGAAGCUUUUUCUACAUGAAUCGCAUUCACAUUAUAAACAUGAUUUUUAUGCAUUAUCAUAUGAAAUUUUUAAUAUUUAUUUUAUAAUGACCUUCUUAGGCAUACCGGCGCGGCGGGGGGGGGCGGCGGGGGGAGAGAGAGAGAGAGAGAGAGAGAGAGAUGUCUAACUAACUUUUUGAAACUUUCUCAAAUGCAAUAUUCUACUACAAAUUCACUUUCAUUUGAGUUUUAUACAAAGACUCAAAUGAAACUUAAAUUCAAAUGAAAUACAAAACCAAACUCAAAUGCAAAUGCAAAUCUAAAUCCAAAUGAAAUGAAAACUAAACAAUCAUGAAUGCUGAAUUACGUUCAACACCGUCCUUUAAUUCACAUUCAAGUUAAAAAUCAACAACACCGUUACAUCCCUCAAUUUGAUAAAGUGUUCAGUUUUGAUUGCCUUGAUCAGCACAUCUGCAAGUUGCUUAUGAGUGUUGACCUUGCGCAGAAAAUGAAACUUAGUAUUAAUGUGCUUGCUUCUUCCAUGUAUCAUUGGAUUCUUAGCAAGACUUAUGGAAGAUUUGUUGUCAAUCAUCAGUCUCACUGGUUUGCUCACCUUGAACUUCAGUUCUUGCAGUAAAUUCAUCAGUCGAACAGAUUAACAAGCUGACAAAGCAUCAACUAUGUAUUUAAAUUCACAUGUUGACAAUGCAACCGCUGGUUGCUUCUUAGAACACCGGAAAUGAGGGAUCCUAGAUACAUAAACAUGUAUCAUGUAAUGCUUCUUUUGUCUACUCGGUCUUCACAUCACUCAGAGUCUGAAUAACAUACUAGCUCAACAUCAUCUGAUACUCUAGAUGGAAACAAAACUUCAUGCCCCAGAGUCCCUUUUACAUACCUCAAAAUCCUGAUUGCAGCUUGGUAAUGUGACCACUUUGGUUUACUCAUAAAACUACUCACCAUUCCAACUACAUAACAUAUGUCAGGUCUGGUGUUACACAUAUAUCUCAGAUAGCCAACCACAUGUUUGAAGGUUGUAGCAUCUACAUCUUCACCAUCAUUAUCAGAGUCCAACUUAUGAUUUGUAUAAGCAUGUGUGAAUAUUGACUUACAAUUCAUUAGCUCAAAUCUCUUUAGCAUCUCAAGUUCCUAUUUCAGUUGGGGCACAAUAACUAUUCUCAUAAUGCAAAAUCUCCACCCUUAGAAAAUAAACCAUAUUUACAAUGUAAGUAAUAUCAAAUGCAUUCAUCAACACCUUCUUGGACUUGUCUAUCUCAGAAGUAUAACUCCCUGUCAGAAGUAUGUCAUCCCUAUAAAGACACGCCAGAAUCACAUUGCCAUCAAGAGUAUGUUGUAUAUACACACCAUAUUCCAUUUCAUAUCUCUUGAAACCCAGAUGCUUGAAAAAUGAAUCAAUCUUCAUAUUCCAAUUCCUUGGAGCUUAUUUCAGGCCAUACAAGGCUUUAUGAAGUUUGUACACCAUCCCUUCUUUGUUAUCUUUCACAAAUUUGGGAGGUUGUAACACAUAAACUUCUUCUUGCAAUGGAUCAUUUAGAAAAGCUGACUUUAUAUCUAAAUGUAUCAGAGGCCAAUUCAUAUUUCCAGCUAUAACAAUAACCAGCCUCAUGGCUUCGUGUCUAGCUACAAGUGCAAACACUUCAAAGUAUUCUAAACUAGACUUUUGUAGGAACCCUCUAGCUACUAACCUUGCUUUAUGCUUAACAAUUGAACCAUAUGGCUUCGAUUUUAUUUUGAAAAUCCAUCUUAAACUGAUGGCUUUCUUGUUCCGAGGUAGAACAAUCAAUUACCAUAUAUUGUUUCUUUCAAUGGCCUCAAGCUCUUCAUUCAUGACAUUUACCCAUACCUUCUUCUUGAGAGCCUUCUUAAUAUUGUCUGGUUUAGAGCCCACCAUCAUGGCUUUCUGUAUGGAUUUUCCUUCAGAAUUAAUCUCAGUGUCUUAUAAUAACUCAAAGUCUGCAAGAUUCCUUGGUAUCUGUCUAACUCACUAUGGCCUUUGGAACUAUGCAAGUUCACCUUCAAAAGCAGGACCACAUUCAGAAUCCCCGCCUUCAAAAUCUCUACCUUUAGAAGUUCUAACUUUAGAAGUUCCACCUUCAGAGGCUGGAUCACCUUCAGAGUCAGAUCCACCAUCAGAGUCAGAGUUACCUUCAGGGCCAAACUCACCUUCAGAGUCAGACUCAUCUUCAAAGUUAGAUUCAUCUUCAGAGUUAGAGUCAUUUUCAGAUUCAGACUCUCCUUCAAAUUUAGAAUCUCCUUCAGAGGCAAAAUCUCUUCCAGAGACAGAAUCAGACUCUAGUAUUGGCACUACGAUAGAGUUGGAUUGAGACUUGCUCUAAUCCCAUGUUUCUGAUUCUUUCUUUAUUACAUCUCUACUAACUUCAAAUUUGUUUGUGACUGCUCAAUAGAGUUUAUAAGAACUUGUACUGUGGUAACCUAUAAGCAACAUGACUUUGCUUUUGUCAUCCAAUUUCCUUCUAGUAGCAUCUGGUAUAUGUUUGUAACAUACUGAACCAAAUACCUUGAAAUGGCUGAAACUUUGAUUUCUUCCAGUCCACUUCUCAAUGGGAACUACUUCUUUUAACUUAAUUUUUGUACAUCUAUUGAACAUAUAUGUUGAUGUGGAAAUUUCUUCAUCCCAUAAUUUCUUAGGUAGAUUCUUCUCCUUCAACAUGCUCUUUGUCAUGUAAAUCAGAUUUCUCUUCCUCCUUCCAGCAAGACCAUUAUGUUGUAUAGUGUAUGGAGAAUUCACAUCAUGCUGAAUACCAUGUUCCUCACAAAACUUCUUGAACUUUAUUGAGUUGAACUCACCUCCACCAUCAGUUCUGAGCAUCUUCAACCUUUGUCCAUUUUGAUUUUGAGCCUUCACUUUGAACUUCUGGAACUUAGAAAACACCUCAUGUUUGAACUUAAUGAGUGUUACCCAUGUCAUUCUUUUAAACUCAUCCACCAAUGACACAAAGUACUUGUUCCCUCCUAGUCAACGUACCUUAACUGUACCACAUAUAUCAGAAUGCACCACACCAAAAGCAUGAGUUACUCUUGGAGGCAUUUCUGAUGAGAAUGGAAAUCUUGGUUGCUUGCAUCUCAUGCAUACAUCACAUGAUUUCUCUAGUGCCACAAUCUUAGGAAUUCUAUGUACCGGAUUCUUUAAACUCAAAUGCCUUAAGCUUCUAUAGUUCAUAUGCCUCAAUCUCUUGUGCCAUGACUCACUUUCCCCUUCAUUACUUAUUGAAUUAAGGAAUUAAGUGUUUGUUGUUGGAAUAUUCACCUUGAAUGUUAUGUUUCUUCCUAAUUCAGACUGCAUAAUCAACUUCCUAUUACAGUCAUACAACUUAAUAGAUUGUCCUUCAUGGUUACAAAAACCUUUUUCAAUCAGUUAACCUACACUCAUCAGAUUUCUAUUCAUGUCAGGAACAUACCAUACAGCCUUGAUCAGUAUAGUUUUGACAUUGUUCAACUUAACUAUGUCAUUUCCCAUUCCUUUAGCAUUAUAAUACUCAUCAUCAAUGUAACACCCUUCUACCCAAACGACAUAUUUAAAUAGAUUAUCAGAGUACAACAUGUAGAAGAGUUUACAUUUCUUACAACAUAACAAUUAUCGCAUCACAAUAGAAAACAUAUUAUUUAUUUUAUUAAAACUUCGCAGCGGACAACAACGUUAAUAUUAUCAUUCAUCAUAUAACAAUUCAAAAUAAUGGUUCAACAUUAUCUCAACAAAACAUCUCAACAUGUUAGUCAUCAUAAACAACGUAAAUAAUAAUCAAUUAUCUAUCGAAUCCCAUAACCCCGGUGUCACAUGACCAGAGCAUUUGACUCGACUCUGUAGAAUAACUCUACACUUAUUCUUCAAACCUCAACAAUAGCUACUCCUCUUUAUCUGCACAUUGCUCAUCAUAGAUGAACAUAAACACAUGCAGAAGGGGUGAGAAUUACAUUAUUAAAUAAUAAUAUAACGACAGAAAUAUAAACAUAAAUAUAUUUCACAUAUGCCAACACAGCUCAUCAUAAUCAUCAUAAUCAACAUACUCAUGAACAUCAACAAAACAACAUAUCAAAUGCAAUGCACACACCCAUGCAUGACUCAACACGACUCGGUAUACCCAUUUUGUGACCAACUACAGGAUCACCACUCCCAGAUUCAUCACCAUAGAAUCCGAGUUCCCCGCAAGGAACCAAGCCUCUCAACAAGCCCGGAGUCAACAACAUCAUUGGAACUCAGUCCGUUCAUCACUAGGCAUCGGCCUUUCAUGAAUGCAUGCACACCAAGCAUGCAUCAUAAUCAACAUAGCAACAACAGCAUCAUAUAGUCAUGUUAUCAUCAUCAUUAACACAUUCUAUCACAAAAGCAUAUCACAUCAUGCCACAUAAUCAAACACAGUAUUAUCACACUCUACUAAUAUCUAUACCACUCAAAGCAACGGGAAAUGAUCCCUCGUAUACCAUGCAUCAGCUAAGUUACCUCGCUCAGCCUAAACAACCAAAAACUGCACAACAACAGCCCAGGAAAGACCACAAGUCUGCCCAUACGCGUAUUGCCUAUGCCCAUACGCGUAUUGCCCACGCCUGACCAAAUCCAUACGCGUAUUGCCCAUGUCCAUACGCGUAUGCUACGCGUAUCACAUUCCCAUACGCGUACCAACAGAGACCAAAACACGUUCAAAACAUCAUCUUCCUCAUCCAUACGCGUAUUGCCUAGUGCCAUACGCGUACCAGCAAUCUCAUACGCGUAUUGCCUAGUGCCAUACGCGUAUGACCAGAAACCAGAUUUCCAGAUCUGCAAUGGCUUUUUCUGCUACGAGAUCUAUCCAAAUUCAUCCUUCCACAGUCCAAAUUUCACACAAAAUCACUCAUAUCAUCUAAUACAAAUAGUCCCCUAUUCGAUUUCACAAAUCCUAACAUCAUUGCAUAUAAUUUCUACGAAUUCCUUCGAUUAAAAUCCCAAUUUCGUUCAUCCAAUAUUUCACCAUUUUCAGCAUAUUAUUGUUUAAUAAGGUUCAGACCCCUUACCUCUUUGGAUUGAAGGAAGUUCUGAGCAAUCUUUGGCCUUUUUCCUCUUUCUUCUCUUCCUCUUCAGCGUUUCCCCCUUUUUCUGACUCUGAGGCAAAAUACGUGAAAACACUCUGAGUUCUCCCUUUGGUCUCUUAUCCAAUUUCCACUUUUACCCUUCCACUCUUCAUAUUCCAUUUAUUUUAUUAUUUAAUUAUUAUUAAAAUAAAUAACACCUAUAAUAAUAAUAAUAAUAAUAAUAAUUCCCGAUAUUAUUUAAUAAUUCCUUUUACCUUCCAAUAAUCAUAUUAAAUAAUAUUUAAAUUACUCUAACAAUAUUUGGGGUGUUACAACUCUCCCCCACUUUAGAAGUUUUCGUCCUCGAAAACAUACCUCAAGCAAAUAGAGCCGGAUACGACUCCUUCAUCUGAUCUUCACGCUCCCAAGUCAAGCUCUCACCAGCUGGACCUCCCCAAACAACUUUCACUAGAGCAAUCUUCUUACCUCUCAGGGUCUUCUCUUCUCGGUCAUCUAUCCGAAUUGGCAACACCUCAACGGUCAAAUUAUCCCUCACCUGGAUAUCAUCCAACUGAACAACAUGCGAAGGAUCCGCAAUAUAUUUUCUCAACUGAGAUACAUGAAACACAUCAUGCAGAUUAGAAAGCGACGGCGGUAAAGCUAUCCGAUACGCCACUUCCCCAACCCUCUUCAAAAUCUGAUACGGACCCACAAACCUCGGAGUAAGCUUUUUAGACUUUAAAGCUCUACCCACACCUGUCGUCGGAGUAACUCUCAAGAACACAUGAUCUCCCUCUUGGAACUCAAGUGCCUUUCUCCUCUUAUCAUGAUAACUCUUCUGACGACUCUGAGAAAUCUUCAUUUUCUCCUGAAUCAUCUUAACCCUUUCAGUCGUCUGCUGCACAAUCUCAGGUCCGAGUACAACACUCUCACCUGAUUCAUACCAACACAAUGGAGUUCUACACCUCCUACCAUACAAUGCUUCAUAUGGAGCCAUACCGAUACUAGCAUGAAAACUAUUAUUAUAAGUAAACUCCACCAACGGCAAAUAACUAUCCCAAGAACCACUCUGCUCCAACACACAAGCUCUCAACAAAUCCUCCAAGGAUUGGAUAGUUCUUUCAGUCUGACCAUCAGUCUGAGGAUGAUAAGCUGAACUCAACCUCAACUUAGUCCCCAACGCUUUCUGCAAACUUUCCCAAAAUCUAGAAGUAAAUCUGGGAUCUCUAUCAGACACAAUACUGGAUGGAAUACCAUGCAGCCUCACUAUCUCCUCAAUAUACAACUCUGCCAACUUCUCUAAAGAGUGAUUAAUCUUCAUCGGCAAGAAAUGCGCCGACUUAGUCAAUCGAUCCACAAUCACCCAAAUAGAAUCAUUACCUUUCACCGUCCUCGGCAAUCCCGUCACAAAAUCCAUGGAAAUGCUAUCCCACUUCCAUUCAGGAAUCUUCAAAGGUUGCAUCAUACCUGCCGGUUUCUGAUGUUCAAUCUUUGACUUCUGACAAGUCAAACAGGCAUACACAAACUUAGCAACAUCUCUUUUCAUACCAGCCCACCAAAACAACUUCUUCAAAUCUUGAUACAUUUUAGUUGCACCUGGAUGGAUACUCAAUCCACUCCUAUGGCCCUCUUCAAGAAUACUCUUUUUCAAUUCAGACACCUCAGGAACACAAACUCUACCUUUAAAUCGCAGGAUGCCAUUCUCAUCAAUCUCAAAAUUACCACCAUUACCCUGGUUAACCAUAGUAAUAUGAUCAACUAGAGCGACAUCAACUUGCUGACCAUUCCGAAUAUCUUCCAGAAUUCCACUAGUCAACUUCAGCAUACCCAACUUUACACUAUCAGCGGAAACUUCACAACCCAAACUCAUAUCACGGAACUGUUCAAUUAACUCAAGCUCCCGAACCAUCAUCAUAGACAUAUGUAGAGACUUUCUACUCAGCGCAUCUGCAACUACAUUAGCCUUACCGGGAUGAUAACUCAAUUCAAAGUCAAAAUCCUUCAGUAAUUCUAACCACCUUCUCUGCCUCAUAUUUAACUCUUUCUGAUCAAACAGAUACUUCAGACUCUUGUGAUCACUGAACACUUCGAAUCUGGAACCAUACAGAUAAUGCCUCCACAUUUUCAACACAAAUACAACAGCUGCAAGUUCUAGAUCAUGCGUAGGAUAAUUCCUCUCAUGAACUUUCAACUGUCUAGAAGCAUAAGCUACAACUUUACCAUUCUGCAUCAAAACACCACCAAGACCCAUCAAAGAAGCAUCACAAUAAACAACGAAGGACUCACCAGGAUUAGGCAAGAUCAACACUGGAGCACUGGUCAACCGCCUCUUCAACUCAACAAAACUCGCUUCACAAGCUGCAUCCCACACAUACACUUGACCCUUCUUAGUCAACUGCGUCAACGGCAAUGCCAACUUAGAGAAGCCCUCAAUAAAUCUGCGAUAAUAACCAGCUAACCCCAGAAAACUGCGUAUCUCAGUAGCAGACUUCGGAGUCUCCCACUGUAAUACAGCAUCAACUUUAGCAGGAUCAACAGAAAUCCCACCACUCGAAAUCACAUGGCCAAGGAAACUCACUUCCUUCAACCAGAACUCACAUUUAGAUAACUUUGCAUAUAAUUUCUUUUCUCUUAACACCUGCAAAACAAUUCUCAGAUGUCCUGCAUGCUCUUCUUCCGUCUUAGAAUAUAUCAAUAUAUCAUCUAUGAACACCACAACAAAAUUAUCAAGGUACGGAUGAAAUAUACGAUUCAUAUAUUCCAUAAACACACCUGGAGCAUUAGACACACCGAACGGCAUCACAGUGUAUUCAUAAUGACCAUACCUCGUACGGAAAGCAGUCUUCGCAAUAUCAUCUGACUUCACUCGGAUCUGAUGAUAACCCGACCGCAAAUCAAUCUUACUGAAAACAUGAGCUCCAACCAACUGGUCCAUCAAAUCAUCAAUCCUCGGCAAUGGAUACCGAUUCUUGAUAGUCACCUUAUUCAACUGCCGAUAAUCGACACACAACCUCAUCGUACCUUCUUUCUUCUUCACUAACAAUACUGGUGCACCCCAAGGAGAAACACUUGGACGCACAAACUUCUUCUCAAGCAAUUCUUCAAGUUGCUUCUUCAAUUCAACUAAUUCAGUUGCCGACAUUCUAUAAGGAGACAUCGACACUGGACUCGUACCUGGUACUAAGUCAAUGGCAAAUUCGACUUCACGUUCUGGAGGUAAAUCACUUACAUCCUCCGGAAACACAUCCUGAAAUUCACAGACAACAGGCAAAUCUACACUCACCACUUUCUUAUCCGCUUGCAGAGACGCAAAUAAAGCGAAUAUCUGAGCUUCAUCUUUCACAAAAUCCCCCACCUGCCUAGCAGAUAGAAAUCUUGCCUCAUCAUUCUCACCAACUUCAGAAAACCGCACCGUCUUCCUAUAGCAGUUGAUAAACACGCCAUAGAAUUCUAGCCAAUUCAUUCCCAGAAUAAUAUCAAUUUGGUGCAAGGGUAAGCACACCAAAUCAAUCACGAACUCUCUCUCAAAGAUCGUCAAAUGACAACCUCGACAGACAACAGAAGUCUUCACAGAACCAUUAGCAGGAGUAUCUAUCACCAUACUUCCGCCUAGGGACGACAUAAUCACACCAAUCCUGGUCGCACACUCAUACGAAAUAAACGAAUGAGUAGCACCAGUGUCAACAAUAGCAAGCAAUUCAACAUUAUUAAUCAAGCAAGUACCUUUAAUCAGAUUAUCUUCUUUAGGAGCUUCAGCCCCACUCAGGGCAAACACCCUACCAGUAGUAUGAGCUGCAGUAGCCGCCUUCUUCGGUUUCGAGCACUGCGAACUGAUAUGGCCUUUCUCGCCACAAUUAAAACAUGUCGGACCAGCAUCCUUACAUUCAGUAACUCUAUGACCAGCCUGACCGCAUCGGAAACAUCUCAGCACUUUCUUGGUACAGCUAUCAGCACGGUGGCCUGGCUCGCCACACUUGAAACAUUUACCAGCUAUGGGAGAUCCUCCCCCACUUGGCUUCUUCUCAUCUACCACUUUCUGCUUACCUUUACCAUUCGGAGAUGCAUAAGGACUACCACGAUCCUUAUUCUUCUUCUCACUAAGACUCUUGUAAUGAGCAGUCCUAGCCUUGCUAUCUUCAUCAAAUAUCCUGCACUUAUUAACCAGUGUAGGAAACCUACGAAUCUCCUGGUAACCAAUGCCUUGUUUGAUCUCGGGACGCAACCCGUUCUCAAACUUGACACACUUGGAUUCCUCAGCAUCAGCAUUAUUAUAAUGAGGACAAUACUGUACCAGCUCCUCAAACUUCGAAGCGUAAUCAGCAACAGACAUGUUACCCUGCUUCAGUCCCAGAAAUUCCAUCUCCUUCUUACAUCGCACAUCAGCAGGAAAAUAUUUCUCCAGAAAGGCCGUCUUGAACCUUUCCCAAGUCAUCUCAGCACCUGGUACUUCAAUUCUCUGGCGAGUGUUAUCCCACCAGUUUUCAGCCUCUUCAGAUAACAUAUGCGUACCAAACUGCACCUUCUGUGCUUCAGUACACGUCAUCACCCGGAAAAUCUUCUCAAUUUCCUUCAGCCAAAUCUGAGCACCAUCUGGAUCAUAGCGCCCUUUGAAUGUAGGAGGGUUAUUCUUCAGAAACCUUCCCAAAUUCCUAAACUCGUCGACCGGCGGAUUCUGCUGCGCCUGCAUAGCCUGCGCCAUAGCAGCCAAAGCCUCAGCAAUCGCACGGUCAUUUUCUCCAGCCAUACUCUGCACGACACAACUACAACCGUUAAAUAUCGACAGUGUCAUUUACACUAAUCGACCAACAGGGAAAACAUCACAUUAUGACUCGACUGGACUGACUAUGCUCUGAUACCACUAAUGUAACACCCUUCUACCCAAACGACAUAUUUAAAUAAAUUAUCAGAGUACAACAUGUAGAAGAGUUUACAUUUCUUACAACAUAACACUUAUCGCAUCACAACAUAAAACAUAUUAUUUAUUUUAUUAAAACUUCGCAGCGGACAACAACACAAAUAUUAUCAUUCAUCAUAUAACAAUUCAUAAUAAUGUUUCAACAUUAUCUCAACAAAGCAUCUCAACAUAUUAGUCAUCAUAAACAACGUAAAUAAUAACCAAUUAUCUAUCGAAUCCCAUAACCCCGGUGUCACAUGACCAGAGCAUUUGACUCGACUCUGUAGAAUAACUCUACACUUAUUCUUCAAACCUCAACAAUAGCUACUCCUCUUUAUCUGCACAUUGCUCAUCAUAGAUGAACAUAAACACAUGCAGAAGGGGUGAGAAUUACAUUAUUAAAUAAUAAUAUAACGACAGAAAUAUAAACAUAAAUAUAUUUCACAUAUGCCAACACAGCUCAUCAUAAUCAUCAUAAUCAACAUACUCAUGAACAUCAACAAAACAACAUAUCAAAUGCAAUGCACACACCCAUGCAUGACUCAACACGACUCGGUAUACCCAUUUUGUGACCAACUACAGGAUCACCACUCCCAGAUUCAUCACCAUAGAAUCCGAGUUCCCCGCAAGGAACCAAGCCUCUCAACAAGCCCGGAGUCAACAACAUCAUUGGAACUCAGUCCGUUCAUCACUAGGCAUCGGCCUUUCAUGAAUGCAUGCACACCAAGCAUGCAUCAUAAUCAACAUAGCAACAACAGCAUCAUAUAGUCAUGUUAUCAUCAUCAUUAACACAUUCUAUCACAAAAGCAUAUCACAUCAUGCCACAUAAUCAAACACAGUAUUAUCACACUCUACUAAUAUCUAUACCACUCAAAGCAACGGGAAAUGAUCCCUCGUAUACCAUGCAUCAGCUAAGUUACCUCGCUCAGCCUAAACAAUAAAAACUGCUCAACAACAGUCCAGGAAAGACCACAAUUCUGCCCAUACGCGUAUUGCCUAUGCCCAUACGCGUAUUGCCCACGCCUGACCAAUUCCAUACGCGUAUUGCCCAUGUCCAUACGCGUAUGCUACGCGUAUCACAUUCCCAUACGCGUACCAACAGAGACCAAAACACGUUCAAAACAUCAUCUUCCUCAUCCAUACGCGUAUUGCCUAGUGCCAUACGCGUACCAGCCAUCUCAUACGCGUAUUGCCUAGUGCCAUACGCGUAUGACCAGAAACCAGAUUUCCAGAUCUGCAAUGGCUUUCUCUGCUACGAGAUCUAUCCAAAUUCAUCCUUCCACAGUCCAAAUUUCGCACAAAAUCACUCAUAUCAUCUAAUACAAUUAGUCUCCUAUUCGAUUUCACAAAUCCUAACAUCAUUGCAUAUAAUUUCUACGAAUUCCUUCGAUUAAAAUCCCAAUUUCGUUCAUCCAAUAUUUCACCAUUUUCAGCAUAUUAUUGUUUAAUAAGGUUCAGACCCCUUACCUCUUUGGAUUGAAGGAAGUUCUGAGCAAUCUUUGGCCUUUUUCCUCUUUCUUCUCUUCCUCUUCAGCGUUUCCCCCUUUCUCUGACUCUGAGGCAAAAUACGUGAAAACACUCUGAGUUCUCCCUUUGGCCUCUUAUCAAAUUUCCACUUUUACCCUUCCACUCUUCAUAUUCCAUUUAUUUUAUUAUUUAAUUAUUAUUAAAAUAAAUAACACCUAUAAUAAUAAUAAUAAUAAUAAUAAUAAUUCCCGAUAUUAUUUAAUAAUUCCUUUUACCUUCCAAUAAUCAUAUUAAAUAAUAUUUAAAUUACUCUAACAAUAUUUGGGGUGUUACAAUCAACACAUCUGAUCUUGGUCCUCUUACCAUAUUUAAAAUCAACCAUCCAUUAUUUGUUUCCAGUUAGGUGAUUUAAGCAUCCAUUAUGAAUAUACCACCAAUCUACCAUUGAUCCACCUACAUUAUCAUAUGCCAUCAAUAACACAAGUUCAUCAUCAGAAUCUCCUCGACUAUGUGGGUUUCUUCACCUUUUCUAACCUUAUUUGACCAGCAAUUAGCAACAAAGUGGCCAAACUUAUUGCAACUAUAGCAUUGAACCUUCAUCUUAUCAAACUUCUCCUUUCCCUUCUAAACAUUCUUAUGUUUCUUCUCUUUAGAGUUGGAGUGCUCUGACUUCUGAACACGAAACCAUAGUUUUCUUGUUCUCUAGCCAUGCUUGCUUCUGGUUCUUCUUUCCAGAAGAAACUUUUAGAUUAUGCGCUUUCAAAGUCUGUUCUAUUUCUUUUUCAGAGUUUCUUUCAGUCAGACGUAACUCUUGUGCCUCUAAAAUACUAUAAAUCUCUUCAAUUCUCAUGGUGCUAGUUGAAGCUAGCAGAAAUAUACCCGAACAUAUUGCACGCUCGAACAUACAACUGAGUCCCCAUCGAACUUUAUUUAUUCCCGAAGGAAAGGGGAAACAUCGAUAAAACCCCGGGGAGAGAGAUAUGUUGGGUAAAGGAGUCAGUUAUGCAAGGGGAAGGUAUUAGCACCCCAAACAUCCAUGGUACUCCAUGGGAACCGUUUUGAUUGUUCUCGCUCGAAUGGGUGUGAUAUCUAAAGAUUACUCGUAAAAGAAUGAGGAAAAGGAAAGGAAUAGAUAGAGUGCUAAGUGAGGAUUGGGGCCCUCAUGCCUACGUAUCCUCAUAGUGCAAUGAGGAAUUCAUAGCUCGUAGUUCAAAGAACUAAUGGUGGGAGAUGAAGAGAAUUUAUGAUAAAGGUAUGGUCUGAACCAAAUGAUUAUGUGAUUUGAACUCCAACAAGGGCUGCAAUAUGAAUCCAAGAGUAAACUGGUAUGAACCAACAAAUGAGGGCCUACAACAUGAUAUCACUAUAUCGGAACAACCGAAAAACAAAGGAAUUAAGUGUUUGGUUUCAUAGCACAAACAUCUCUUAGUUCACAAAAAGGUACAAGAUGGAGCAUAAAGGAUAGUGUAUUUGGCUCAAAGAAUAAGGUAUAUCACAUGAAGUGAAUGAAGGUAGAAUAUGAAUGUAUCAUGCAGAUGAAUGGAAUGAAGUGACCAAAGUCAUAGAAUUGAAGGAUUUGGUAACAGUGGCUAAAUAGGUAAAAUUUAAAACCAAAGGUCAGAUGUACAUUGGAAUCCAUAAGAGAAAUGGAAUUUGUACAAUAGAGGGUGUCGCAACCUAAAAAAAUAGAAUACGAAAAAACAAUCGGCGAAAGAGAAAUGACAGAAGAGUCACCACCGUGCGUUAUUUAUCCCAAAGGAGGGAAAGGAAACGCUCGAAGUAAACCUGGAGAAAGGAAAGGAAAAGACAAGGUCUAGCAACCAAAUCUUGGGUUCGGGAGUCGAUUAUGCGAAGGGAAGGUAUUAGCACCCCUACGCAUCCGUGUACUCUACGGAUUCACUCUGUUGUUCUUGUCCUAAGGGUGUUGUAUCUAAUGUAUUAUUUACCAAAAGAGGGUCAAAAGAAAAUGACUCAACGGAUGUCGCUCCACGCAUACGUUACUUCAUCUGAAUAUGAGAAUCAGAGUCUUCGUAGCUCGGCUACCUAUGGGUGAAAGGAUGUGUGCUCGCUAAGACAUCGCGUCUUAUGCCUACGUAUUCAUCGGGAAUGAGAAUCAGAGCAAAACAUAAUUCAGUAACUACGGAAUAAGGGUCUCGAUUGCAACUAGGGCAAGAGAAAGGAGGUCUUGAUCACAAUAGGGCGGAGAAAGAAUCACAACGAGGGCGAAAGCAAACAAGGAUUAGUUGUUAGUUGUUAGUCAAACUCGGCAAGACAUCGCAUCUUGUGCCUACGUAUCUCAUCUGAACAUGAGAAUCAGAGUUGCCGUAGUUCGGCUACAUAGUGGUUGCCAUCUGAACAUGGACUUACAAAGGAGGACACCAGUUGUGUCAAAUGAGAGUGGGCAAUGUGUUCAUGUCCUAGCAGUAGGUGUCGCAGCUCGCUGAAUCGAGUCUUAGGCAGUUACCUCUUUGCAAUAGGACGGAGUGACACGCCACAGGAUCGGAGACGCACGGAAGGUCUAAAAGAAUGGGGAAGCUCUGCCCUAGAGUUGUCAUGCAAUAUGGACCUAGGUGUUAGGAUUUACAAAUGGGAACAUCUACCUAAUGUUAGCAUGCAAAAGAAUAAGGGAAUUCUACCUAUGUUAUCAUACAAAAGAAUAUGGGAAUUCUACCUAAGUUAUCAUACAAAGGGUUCUACCUAAUGGAUGCUACCUAAACGGAACAAGAGUCGUCAGAUGGAGCAAGGAAAGGAUAAGGGUAGAUGGCGAUGCACGAAGUGAUCGACUUACAAGGUAGAUGGCGAUGCCUGAAGCAAUCGACUUACAAGAGAAAUGGCGAUGCAUGAAGCAAUCGACUUACAAAAGAAUGGAUGAAUACGUGUUGGUUUUGUUAAGUUUUGAAAAUGAUUACUCGACGUUGGAUCGAGGUUUUGAUCUUGUUUUGAAAUGGUUAUCGGAUGUUCGUUUUAUUUCUUGUAUUAACGGAUGAAUAAAGAAUGAAAGAAUAGACAUUAUACACUUCAUGGGAGAGGGGUACAUUUGUUAUGAAUGGGUAUUGUUCAUGGCAAUCGGACAAUAAAAAUAUAUGCCUCAUACAACAUACAAGUAGGCCACAGUUAUCAAUCAAUAAGAUAAAUAAACAGGUAUAUGAUCAAAUCAAAUAAUCAAAGAAUGAAAUAAUGAAGCAUUAGACAAUGCAUGAGAAGUAUAAACAUGUUAAGCAAUCAAACAAUAGAAGCAUGGAUGAAAGAAACAAGUAUAGAAACUAUCAGAUGAAUCAGACAGAUGCAACUAUGCACACAAAGGAUCAAUGAAUAAUUUAAUCGGGAAAUGAUGCAAGGAUCAAAUAAAUCAAUAUCUUAUAAUAUGCCAAAAUCACUUAAGCUCGUGGUACCUUACCAUAUUUCGUAUUCUACUUAAGUACACUGUACCUUACGAUGUUCUAUAAUUCACUUAAGGGCACCGUACAUUACGAUAUUCCUUAAUUACUCUAUCUCUCAUCAAUCCGUCCUUUGUGUGUGACCCUAUAGGUUUUCGCGACAUUGGUAAUUAUAAUUAAGGGCACCGUACAUUACGAUAUUCCUUAAUUACUCUAUCUCUCAUCAAUCCGUCCUUUGUGUGUGACCCUAUAGGUUUUCGCGACAUUGGUAAUUAUAUUAAAUCACGUAUUUAACAUAAUAAAUAGUGAGCGGUAUCUAGCAACACAUCACUGCUACCCAAGACACGAAAAUGUCAUAUGAUCUGACAAAUCCUUCUGUGAUAAUAAUUAUGUGUAUAAUUACCCUUUUGCCCUUAUGUCUAUAUUGAACAUAAGGCAUAGAUCGUGUCAUCCUUGUCCAGUUCAAUAUUGGGCCCAUAGACAUUUAUCCCGUUACGUAGGAUGGGCAAAUUCCAUAUAGGUCACUCAUGUCCCUUAGCAUGCGUCGUGGAGUACCCAUCAACUGUCUUUAUGGUCAUCCAGUUACGAAGAACAUUUGAUCAGCAAUAAGGCACUCGACUCUACAUCUAGGGUCCAUAGUGGUUUCAGGUUGAAGGGUGGUAUACACCACUAUCACCAUGAGAAUAACUUAUGACACUUUGCAUAACUAUAUAGUAUUCUCAUAGCGCGGUCAAUCCAGUAUAAAAUAUACUCUUAAAUUCAUACCUAUGUUUUUAGGAGUCGGUGAGAUGACUGAUACUCCCUUAUCCAUGACCAUGAGAUGUGAUUCACAGGUCUAAAACAUAGGAUUCUUCAUGCUUUAAUGUUAUCCCACUUACAAUAAGCUCGCACUACGGAUACUUUAAGAUAGUGUCUCAUGAUUAAGUCACACUUGAUACAUUAAACGGACUAUCUAUUCCAGGGACUUUAUUAAACAAACAUAAUAAAGAAAAAGCCUUUUUAUUAUUAAUAAAUAAUUCGAUACAAGUACCAAAAAUAUUGGCCUCUAGGGCUUACACCAACAGUUUUUGUAUGUUUUUUAUGGGCCUUUGAUCUGAAUAUUGCACCUCUGUGUGCCAUGGUCUGAACCUCUAACUCACAUGUUAUGCUACUGCUUUGCUCUAUUGUUUUGUCCCCAUUGAUGAAUGUCUGCUUGGUUUGUCAUAUUCUGGCUUAAAAAGGGGAGUAGAUAGUGUGUGCUAGUUGUUCUCUUUAUUUAUUUUAUUUUAUAUGUGAAGGUUGUUUCUUUGAAGGGGAGUAUGUUUCCUGUGUAACAGGGGGAGUUAUUUAUGUGUUGUUGAUCAUGACAUUCAGAGGGAGUUUGAUUCAUUUGUACCAAGGUUGUUGUGUACUUGUUGUGAUGUCAGACAGAAUGUCUUGACAUUUUAUUUUAGAGAAUUAUGUUUGUGCUUAAGCUAUUGUGUACUUGAUCUGAUGUCAGACAAAAUGUCCUGACAUUUUGUUUUAGAGAAUUUUGUUUGUGCUUAGGCUGUUGUGUGCUUGCUAUGAUGUCAUACAGAAUGUCUUGACAUUUUGUUUCUAAAGAAGGCUUGGAGUGUGAGAGUUUAUUUCUCUCUCUGUCUUUUCUGUGAGGUUGGAUUUCUACACCUUAUUUCUAUUGCGUGUGCCUCUGAUAUGUCUUGGUGUUAUACCAAGUGUUUGGUUUUUGUGCUUGUGAUUAUUGUUGUUGUUUUAUGUUUUCUCCAGCUAUAUGAUGCAAAGGUGUUUUUAGCCAAAAAAAUUCAAAGGGGGAGAUUGUUAGUUUUGUGUUUUUAUGAUUGGAAGCAAUUUUGUUAAAACAUGUAUCACAACAAGAUGUUGAGCAAGAUGUCAUGACAUGUUGAUCGACGUCUUUUCAUGUUUUGUUUUACUUCUUGGAAGAUUUAUUUUAUUAUUAGAUAUCUGAAGAUUAUCUGAAUAUUUAGCUAUCAUAUUUUACUAUCCAAGAAGGUUUAUUUUAGGAACUCUUGUUUCGUUUCCAAUUGUGCACUUUUUUCAUAAAAAAAGAUGUUGAGACAUUUUAAGGAAACAUUAGAUCAUAUUUGAUUUGAUUCUGAAGAAGAUUGUGCAGAUUAGAUGUAGAAAGAUUUAUGGAUACAUCAUAUUUGAUUUUGCAUAACAAAUGUUGAAAGAUUCAAGGAAACAUUUGAUUUUAUUCUACAGAAGAUUAUGCAGACUGGAUGUCGAAACAUUUAUCCAGAUAUCAGAUUUGAUUUUGCGGAAGAUUUUGCAGACUGGAUGUCAAAACAUUUAUGGUGACAUCAAAUUUGAUUAUGCAGAACAAAUGUCAAAACAUAUAAGGAAACAUUUGAUUUGAUUUUUCAUGUCGAAAUAUUUAUGGAGACAUCAGAUAUGAUUCUGCAUAAUGGAUGUCAAAACAUUUAAGGAGACAUCAGAUUUGAUUUGAUCAAAUAUUAUGCAGAACAGAUGUCAAAAUAUUUAAGGAGACAUCUGAUUUGAUUUGAUUUGAUUUGAUUUGAAUAUGCUGUUUUUUAUGCCUAAGCCCAUGCUUACCAAAGGCUAUUUAAAGAGGACGUUACUAAACCUAAUAAAUAGAACUGAAAGUUGCAUUGGAAAUUGUCAUUGUUAGGGUUUAGUUGUCUUUUGUUAUUUGUGAGUCAUUCUAGUAUCUCUUUGAUACUUGAAUUGGACUGAAUUUAUUGAGUUGUAAUUGUAAAUCACUCAUGAGCUUUUAAGCAAGACUACAUUAUUUUCAUUGGAAGUGUUUCUUUUGUUCUUUGAUUCUUUUUCAGUUGUUAUCAUUGUUAUGUGGUUGAAGGGAAGUGAGAAUGGUCUCAUAUCUAGGAGAGUCUUAGAUAGAAAUUCCACAGGUAGUGAUUAGAUGAGAAGUUUUUAAAACUAUAGGUUGUUAAGAACUUCAAACUAAUACUAUUAUGGUGGAUUUCCUUCCUGGCUUGGAUGCCCCCAGAUGUAGGUGAUGUUGCACCGAAAUGGGUUAACAAUUGACCUGUGUUAUUUCCUGUUUUUCUGCUAUUUAAAUUCGAUUAUUGUUUAUGGUGUGAUAAUAUGAUGACCAUGGCGUCAUGACGUCGUGUACAACAUAUGAGAUCUACUUACCAGAAUUUCAGUUGGUAUCAGAGCAUGCACCCUAUUAUGUUUUGGGUGAGCUCCAGGGAGAUACUUUCUAGUACCAUGGAAGGAGGAUUUGUUAAUAGACCAUCCAUCUUAGAUGGCACCACCUAUGACUAUUGGAAGGAACGUAUGAUGAAAUUCCUAAAGCCUAUGGAUAAUAAGACUUGGAAAGCUAUCAUCAAGGGUUUGAACAUCCUGUUGUGAAGGACAUAGAUGGGAAGGUUACUACUAACUUGAAGCCCGAAGAGGACUGGUAUAAGGAAGAAGAUGACAUGGCUCUUCAAAACUCCAAAGCUUUGAAUGAUCUAUACAAUGGAGUUGACAAAAACAUAUUCAGGUUAAUAAACACAUGUACUAUGGCCAAAGAUGCAUGGGAAAUUCUCAUAACCACCCAUUAAGGCACAUCUAAAGUGAAGAUGUCUAGACUUCAGCUUCUCACUACUAGAUUUGAGAAUAUAAAGAUGAAAGAUGAUGAGAGUAUUCAUGAUUUUCACAUGAAUGUUCUUGAAAUUGCAAAUUCAUCUAGUACCUUGGGAGAGAAGAUGUCAUAAGAAAAGAUGGUUAGAAAAAUUCUCAGGUCCCUACCUAAGAAAUUUAAUAUGAAGGUCACAGCCAUUGAAGAAGCCCAAGACAUCAGCAACAUGAAAUGUAUAUGAACUUGUUAGGUCACUCCAAAUUUUUGAAUUGGGUAUUAGUGACAGAUUUGAAAAGAAGAACAAAAGUAUAGCUUUUGUAUCCAACACUGAAGAUGAACAGGACCAAUGUGACUUGGAUACUGAUGAGGGAAUGUCUAGUGAUAUUUUACUUCUUAGGAGACAAUUCAACAAGGUGCUGAAGGGAAUGGACAGGAAUUCAAGACCAAAUGUCAAGAACAUCUCAUCUAACAUCAAUAAGAACAGUGAUUCUCGGAGAAAAGAAAGAACAGAAGAAAAGCCCAAUCAAGGAAAAGGUAUUCAGUGUCAUGAAUGCGAGGGUUUUGGUCACAUUAGACCAGAAUGUCCCACAUAUCUCAAGAAACAAAAGAACAACUUGUUUGUUUCUUCUUCUGAUGAUUCUGAAGGUGAAACUAAUGAUGAAACUGCUAAGCAUGUUAUAACUUUCACUUGUAGAUAUAAAUCUAAUGAAGAUUCUUGUGAUGAGGAUGUCUCUUUUAUAAAGAAUUGGCUUCUUCCUACAAAGACCUUUGUAUCAAAAGUGAAGACGUGUGUGAGACAGGAGAAAGGCAUAAGAGAAUCAUAGCUCAACUACAGGCUGAAAAAGAGAAACUUUUAUCUACUGACACUGAUCUUGAAAAUGAGGUAACUCUAUUGUCUUCUAAACUUGAAAACAUGACCAAAUUCAUAAGAAUGUUGAACAAUGGGUCUGAUAUGCUAGAUGAAAUUCUUCAAGUUGGAAAAGAGGAUGGAAACUUAAAAGGUAUAAGUUUUAACUACCAAUAUCAAAAUAAACAAGGAAAAACCCUUGUGACAAAAUUUAUUCCUCCAGAAAGGAAGUGUGAGCCCAUGACGUCCGACCAAAUGUUACAUCAUCCUGCCAGACAUUAGCAAACUCAAACAAAAGUCAAGUUUUUGCCUUGGAAAUGUCAUUAUUAUGGUAAAUAUGGACAUAUAAAUCCUUUCUGCUACAUACUGCAUGGUUAUCCAAAACAUCCAACACAUCUUAGGGAUAAUCAUGUAAUGAUUAAAACUAGAAAGGAGUGGAAACCAAAGGUUGUUCCACAUGAAACUACUUGUUCUUCCACAUGCCUAAUGUCCAAGGAAGAUGAAGUCAAGUUGUGGCACCAAAAGCUUGGACAUCUGAAUCUUAAAGGGAUAUCUCUUGGUUACUCUACAAAUAAUAUAACUUGUAGAGUAUUUAACUCUAGAACCAAGGACACGGUGGAAUCCAUUAAUGUUGUGGUUGAUGAUUCAAUUAUUGUAAAAGGGGUUGAUGUCGAUGAACAUGUCGGAACAUCAUCUAAAAAGACCGAUGCUUCAGAAAAUAUGGAAGACAUUGAGUCAAACUUUGAGCCAGCAAGGAAUGAAUCAGACGCUUCUGCUGAAAUCUGAGCUGUUUGUUUUUUUGUUUGAUUUUGUAUGUUUAUUAUGGGCCUUUGCUAUGAAUAUUGCACCUCUGUGUGCCAUGGUCUGUACCUUUAACUCACAUGUUCUGCUACUGCUAUGCUUUAUUGUUUCGUCCCUAUUGAUGAAUAUUUGCUUGGUUUAUCAUAUUUUGGCUAAAAAAUGGGGAGUGGAUAGUGUAGAGUUAUGCUAGUUUUGCUAUUUAUUUAUUUUAUUCUCUAUGUGAAGGUUGUUUCUUUGAGGGGGUAUGUUUCCUGUGUGACAUGGGAGUUAUUUAUGUGUUGUGAAUCAUGACAUUUAUCGGGAGUUUAAUUUGUUUGUACCAAGGUAGUUCUGUACUUGUUGUGAUGUUAGAAAGAAUGUCUUGACAUUUUGUUUUAGAGAACUAUGUUUGUACUUAGGCUAUUGUGUACUUGUUGUGAUGUCAAACAGAAUGUCCUCACAUUUUGUUUUAGAGAAUUAUGUUUGUGCUUAGGCUGUUGUGUGCUUGCUAUGAUGUCAGACAGAAUGUCUUGGCAUUUUGUUUAUGAAGGAGGCUUGGAGUGUGAGAGUUUAUUUCUCUCUAUGUCUUUUCUGUGAGGCUGGGUUUCUACUACUUAUUUCUACUACAUGUGCCUCUGAUAUGUCUUGGUGUUAUACCAAGUGUUUGUUUUUUGUGCUUGCGAUUAUUUCUGCUAUUUUUUCUUUUCUCCAGCAAUAUGAUGCAAAGGUUGUUUUAGCCAAAAUUUGCCAAAGGGGGAGAUUGUUAGUUCUGUGUUUUUAUGAUUGGAAACAAUUUUGUUAAAACAUGUAUCACAGCAAGAUGUUGAGCAAGAUGUCGUGACAUGUUAAUCAGACAUCUUUGCAUGUUUUGUUUUACUUCUUGGAAGACUUAUUUUAUUAUGAGAUAUAUGAAGAUUCUCUAAAUAUUUAGCUAUCAUAUCUGACUGUCCAAGAAAGUUUAUUUUAGGAACUCUUGUUUCAUUUCCAGUUGCGCACUUGUUUCAUAAAAAGGAAUGUUAAGAUAUUUUAAGGAAACAUUAAAUCAUAUUUGAUUUGAUUCUGAAGAAGAUUGUGCAGCCUGGAUGUCAAAAUAUUUAUGGAGACAUCAGAUUUCAUUCUGCAUAACAGACGUCGAAACAUUUAAGGAAACAUUUGAUAUUCUAUAGAAGAUUGUGUAGACUGGAUGUCAAAACAUUUAUGGAGACAUCAGAUUUGAUUAUGCAAAACAGAUGUCAAACCAUUUAAGGAUACAUUUUAUUUGAUUCUGCAGACUAGAUAUCGAAACAUUUAUGGAGACAUCAAAUUUGAUUCUGCAUAAUGGAAUUCAAAACAUUUAAGGAGACAUCAAAUUUGAUUUAUCAAAUAUUAUGCAGAACAAAUGUCAAAACAUUUAAGGAGACAUCAGAUUUGAUUUGAUCAGAUUUGAUUUGAUUUGAUUUGAUUUGGAUCUGCUGAUUUUUAUACCUAAGCCCAUUCUUACCAAAGGCUAUUUAAAGAGGACGUUACUAAACCUAAUGAAUAGAAAAGAAAGUUGCGCUGGAAAUUGUCAUUGUUAGGGUUUAGUUGUCUUUUUUGUUAUUUGUGAGCCAUUCUAGCAUCUCUUUGGUACUUGAAUUGGACUGAGUUUAUUGAGUUGUAAUUAUGAAUCACUCAUGAGCUUUUAAAAAAGAAUGCAUUAUGUUUCAUUGAAAGUGUGACUUCUGUUCUCUGGUUGUCUUUCAGUUGUUAUCACUGUUGUGUGAUUGAAGGGAAGUGAGAAGGGUCUCAUAUCUAGGAGAGUCUUAGAUAGAAAUGUCAUGGGUAGUGAUUAGGUGAGAAGUUUGUAAAACCAGAGGUUAUUUAGAACUUCAAAAUAAUAUUGUUAUAGUGGAUUUCUUUCUUGGCUUGGAUGCCCCCAGAUGCAGGUGACGUUGCAUUAAACUGAGUUAACAAUUGACCUGUGUUAUUUCCUAUCUUUCUGUUAUUUAAAUUCCAUUAUUAUUUGUGGUGUGAUAAUGUGUUGACCCUGGUGUCGUGACAUUGUGUACGACAUCUGGGAUAUGCUUACCCUAAUUUCAAGAUCCAUAAUAGAGUCACCAUAUAAUAGAGGUAGUUACCUCCAUAAUAUUGAAAAAGAUUCUCGAUCAUCUUUCUAAUCUCGCAUCAUCUUAAUUGUCCAUCAUCAAUGUGAUAUAUAUCGUAACGACCUCUGACGGAGUUUCGCCACCGGUAUGUGUAACAAAGAAUCUCUAGAUAAUAUGUGGAUGUUGUAUCACACCAUAAUUCCUAGAUCGCGGCAAGGUAAACUAAAAUUUGGACGCAAAUUACUAGAGAAUUGAAGUAACUAUCACCACAAAUCAUGUGAUACUUCCUAGAGAUGCAAAGUGAUAAGUAUUAUUAUUUUACUCUACCACAUUUUGUUUAUCGUCUGUGUGAUCCACUACAUCGUCGGAACCAACAUCGAUCCCUUGUUAGCACGCAUAUUCCACCUGGAAAUUUGGCAUUGAGUCAAGCAACGAAGAUCGAAGUGCACAAAGACGUUCGAAGAACGAGGAAAUUCUAAAGAUCUUGAACACUAACCUACUAAUGAUUGUGGCAAUUUCCACCAUGGAAAAAAGUUCUUACAAGGUAUCUCGUAGGUAAUAAACUUUUGGCGAUGACUUCAGAUCCAAGGCAAUCAAACUCCCAAGUCUUCGUUGAGCAAAGUCGGACGUGCACGAUAAAAGAGAUCCUUCGACCUUCAGUAACUUGAUUGCUCGCUCUCAUAGAACAUCAUGGAUCACACCCUCAUCAGGGAGCAAUAGGUGGGAGAGGAACAUCCUGGACUCCUCAUAAUAUUGUAGCGAAACAUCAUCUAAGACGCCUCAUGUCAACAUUCUUAUCUAACUUAAUACUAGUCUUCAUCAGUAUGUAGAGAUACAGUCUUGUUGAGAAGGAAACCAGACUCGGCCCACACAGGUCGAGAAAGGAUCCAGUGGAGAAGUCCUCAAGACACCUCAUAUUCAUUCCGUAGUGGAACCAGUGUUGAUCGUUAAAUGAGGAGGCGAAGCUUGUAGUCGUGGUCUUGACCUUUCGAUGCAGCAAAGAAGGGACUGACCUGCAAGGUUAGUACUCCAAUGCUCAAGUUAGUAAGAGAAUAGAAAGUAUUGUGUGAAUGAGAAUAAAUUUGAAUACCUCUAUGACGCCAUUUCCUUUUUAAACAGGGGAAGCAAUUUGUAACUAAAAGGAUGGAGUGAGGAAUGAUCAUGGUCAGGUGUCAGAUUGAUAUGAACGACUAGUAAAACUCCAAUACGCAAAAUUGCCCGCUCCUAAGAGAAAAUAGUCUACCUAUUAUGCACUUCGUUCAUUUGCUUUAUUAUUGAACAUUUAUCAUUGAGUUUGGACGGCACAAAACACUUAAGAAAAAUAAUUAUAAAAUAUUAGAUUAAUUUUGAUAAGUGUCCUAUUUAAUUAAGAAAAAAUAAUAUUGAAUCAAUUUUAUUAAUAAUUAUUAGUUGAAAGCGAAAAAAAAAAUUUAAAAGCACAUUUUGUUUUGAAACUUAAAAAUAUGAUGUAUGAAUCACAUUUUUUAUAUCAAACAUUAGCACAUUCAUAAUUUAUAAUUAUUUUAAUUUGAAUUAUUUGAAUGGCCGUUAUUUGACACUUGAAUCCAACACCAAUGAAAAUAUAUUAACUUUUCCCCUUAAACUAGGAAAAGUUUGUAAUGUGGUAUAAUCAUGAUAAUGAUUAGAGUACACUGUCCCUUUUUCUAAAAUAGGAAAAAGAAAAUACACUAUAAUUUGUGUCCAUUCUUUUGUUGUUGAGUGUAGACUUUAACUAUUGGAUACCAUUGAAGUUAAAGGGUCAAAGAUUCCAUUGAAUAUGAAGAAGCCAUUGUUGGUCGGAUAUGAAGAAAAUGAAGGAGAAAGUUGCGGUGAAGUGAGUUACAGGUUGUUGUUGGAAUCAUUAUAGACAUAUAUCAUUCUCUUCAAGACUAGACCAGAGCCCAUCAUUUAUAGUAAUAUCUGACCGUCCUUUAAUCUCAUUAUUCUCAGAUGGAAUACUUUGUUUUCCAUUUUGUAUAGAACACUUGGGAAAGAAACAUAGGACACUUCUAAAAAUAUUGUCUCAACACUUUCCUAAAUUUGUGUCUCCAAAGUAAAAGAUGCGUGCAUACAAGUUGUAGUUGUAUAGGUUAUUAUCAUCUCACACUUAACUGCAAAUUAUUUCAUUAACAAAAUGAUUGAAAUCUUCAUAAAUGAAAUUCAAAGAAACUCUUAUCAAAGUAGAAUAUCCACAAAAAUUGCUUUCACGUCAACAACAUAAAUUGAACUCACGACUUUUUGAUACGUGAGUCAAUUUUUUUAUCAGUUAAGUCAAUUUUUCUUAAUAUUUAUGGAUCAUUUAUAUAUACUCGAAAUUUUUUACUUUUAAAUUAAUUGAAAAUGAACUAAAUAUAUAGUUAAACUUUUUUAAUAAUAAAUAGUAAAGAAAGUAUUAUAUAAAAAGAUUAAUUAAUACAACGAAUUCUAUAAAAAUAUUACCUGUGUUAUUUGUAUCACAUAUUGGACACAUUUCUCAUUAGCUCUCAUUUUAAGGUUGAGAAUUCAAAAAUAUUUUUUUUGUAAAACACUUCUCGCCAAAUUUUUAACGUUGUAUAGUUUUUUACGGGUCUCUUAAAAGGUUUUAAAGUCCUUGGAUUUCUAAUUGACUAUGAAUAAUUAUUCUGGCAUUGGCAAGGGGUGUUGGUUCCACCAAUGCCUCUAUCCUUUGCAUCCCUUGGUCUAUUUUCUUUAUCGUCUUCCUCACAUUUUAUAUAACACUCGGACCUUACCAUUAAUUCUUUCAUUUGAGUCUGCAUGGUUUUUAGCCGAGAAACUCGUUCAUGUUUUUAGCCUAGUACAUUUUAAAAGGAUUUAUGAGCAUCUCCUAAUUUGAGCGAUGGAUUCGUUGAAAUUCCCUUUCUGUUUCUCUCAUCAAUUAUCAUCCCCACUUAUUAGACUCGUUUCUCAUAACCUCCCACUUAGAGGUUGGGGAUUCGGGAAUAUUCUUGGUGUGAAACACUUCUCGCCAGGUAUUUACCAACGUGUAGUUUUCUACGAGUCUUUUAGGAGGUUUAAAAGUUUCUGGAACUUUGAUUGACUAUGAAUAAUUAUUCUUGCGUUGACUAGAGAUGUUGAUUCCACCAAUGCUUCUCUCCUUCGCAUCCCUUGCUCUAUUUUCGUUGUUUCCUUCCUCAAACUUCAUAUAAUACUUAACUCUUACCAUUUUUUCUUUCAUUUGAGUUUGCAUUUUUUUUUUGCCAAUGAACUCGUUGAAAUUUUUAGUUGAGUCCAUUUUAAAAGGAUUUAUGAACAUCUCCUAAUUUGUGCGAGAGAUUCGUUGAAAUUUCCUUUAUGUUUCUCUCAUCAAUUAUCACCCCCCACCCCGAAUCUUAAAUAGUUGUCAAGUCAGAGGAGCUCGUUAAAAUUUUUAGUUAAGUCCAUUUUAAAAGGAUAUAUGAACAUCUUCUAAUUUGAGUGAGGGAUUCAUUGAAACUCCAUAUGUGUUUCUCUCAUCAAUUAUCAUGCCCACCCGUCAUCCCAUUGUUUGGACUCAUUUCUCAUAACCUCUCACUUAGAGGUUGGGGAUUCGAGAAUAUUCUAGUUGUGAAACACUUAUUGCCAAGUAUUUAAUAGCAUGUAAUUUUCCACGGGUCUUUUAGGAGGUUUGAAUGUCUCAGGAUCUCUGAUUGAUUAUGAAUAAUUAUUCUUGCGUUGAUUAGGAUUGUCGAUUCCACACCAAUGUUUCUCUCCUUCGCAUUUCUUGUUCUAUUUUCUUUGUUUCCUUCCUCACGCAUUAUAUAAUACUCAACUCUCACCAUUAUAUCUUUCAUUUGAGUAUGCAAGUUUGUUUGUUGAGGAACUCGUUGAAUUUUUUAGCCGAGUCCAUUUUAAAAAUAGAUAUAAACAUCUCCUAAUUUGAGCGAGAGAUUCGUUGAUUCUCAUCAAUUAUCAUUAUCCUUCUUCCCUUAGUGUGAUAUAAUCCAACUUAGCUACUUGGUUAGCAAGUUAGUUAGUUUGUUAUGCUAGCUACUUUGAUUAUAAUAUUGUAUAUAAAUACUUGUGUAGAUAACUCUCAUUAUAACAAUUAAAUACAAUUACUUUUCACUCUCUCUCUCUCUCUCUCUCUCUCUCUCUCUCUAUAUAUAUAAUAUAUAUAUAUAUAUAUAUAUAUAUCCUUCCUCACCCAAGAGCAUUGGCACUAAGAUUGUGAUGAGUUGAAACAUUACGAUGAUGAGAACCCUGUUUGGGAUUGGAAUUCAUGUGAUGCAACUAACAAGCCAUUGAUGAGUUAUGGCGUUGAUGAAGAAAGUAGUGAGGAUGAAUAAAUUCCACUUAAUUAUAUUCCAGUCAAAGUCGAAGUAGACAAUAGAGAUUGUGCGGCUAGCACAAGGCAGAGACUUCAAAAAACUAGAGUUCUCCCAGCAAGACUUUAAGACUCCGAAGUGGUUGGUGAUGAUGAAGGCACAUCAUAUGGACAUUUGAUUCAUUUCACUUUAUUUGUAGGUACUGAACCAAUCAACUAUAGUGAGGUCUUAAAGAAUAAACAUUAGAAGACAUCUAUGGAUGAAAAGAUAUAAUCGUUCGAAAGAAACAAUACAUGGAAAUUAAUCGAAUUUCCAAACACACAAAAGCUAUCAAAGUAAAAUGGAUGUUCAAGAUGAAGCACAAUCCUUAUAGAUCGAUUUCAAGGCAUAAAGCAAGAUUAGUAGCUCGAUGAUUUAUUCAGAGAGCAGGACUCGAUAGUAUAUGCAAUAUAGCAAGAUUAGAGACUGUCAUAUUGGUGGCAGUCUUGGCAUGCAAGCAAGGCUGGUCGACAUUUCACUUAGAUGUGAAAUUAAAAAAUUUGAAUGGUCCCCUAGAUGACGUCGUGUAUGUCACACAACCUCCUGGGUUUGUGAUAUAGGAGGAAGUAAUGAAAAUGUACAAGUUGCAACAAAAAAACCUUUAUGGUCUCAAACAAGAACCUAGGGAAUGGAACAAGUAAAUCGACUCAUACUUAGUCGAGUUGGGAUUCAUAAAAUGCAGGUUUGAGUAUGGUGUCUAUGUAUAAGUCAUGGCACAAGAUAUAAUCAUCAUUUAUGCUUAUAUAUCGAUGACUUGCUAGUAACUAGAAAUAUAAUGGAGAACUUGUCGAAGUUCAAAGAGCUUAUGGAGAGGGGAUUUGAAAUGUCGGAUCUAGGAAACCUGUCGUAUUUCUUAGGCAUGGAAUUUCAAAUUACCAAGCAAGGCAUGGUUUUGCAAUAAAUAAAUCUCUGGUGCUGCAGAUCAAUGAUAAGUCAGUCAUCAAUCUUGCAAAGAGUUCAUUUCUGCAUGGAAGAAUAAGUACAUUGAAGCUAUAUUUCACUUCUUGAUGGAGAAGAUAAAUUCAGGUGAACUUGAAGUUUGCUUGAGGGAAGCACAACUGACCGACAAACUCACCAAAUAAUUGAAGUCGAUAAGUUUCUGACUUUUAGAAAAAAAUUAGGAAUAAUUCAAAUCGACUAUGAUUAGUUUGUGUUUGACAACUUGAAUUAUAAGGGGAUAUGUUGUGAUAUAAUCCAAGUUAGAUAUUUGGUUAACAAGUUAUUUAAUUUGUUAUGCUAACUACUUAGGUUACAAGUAACUUGUUGUAUAAUCAUGUAUAAAUAACUCUCACCGUAACACAAUUACUUUUCAUUCUCUCUAAUUCCUUUCUAACUCAAGUGACACUAACAUCAUUUCAUGAGUGUCAAGCUUAUCAUAAUUAAGCUUAGUUGAUAAAAAAUAACUAUUUUAUUUUUAAAUUGAAUGAAUGUUUUAAAAGAAGAACAGUAGAAAAGAACUCAACAAGGUUCUAUAUUAAAGAAAAGGUGAGUAAUACUCUGAAACGGGGAAUAAUAUUCUUAAAGUGACUUUGAACUACUAUUUUCAUGAAAUAAUUAUUAAUUAAUAUCACAUACACAUAUAUAAUAACUCAAUAUACCCAAUAUCAAAUUUUCUAAUUAAAAAAAAAUCAAUUUUUAAAUUUAAAAAUAAAUGUUGACGAUUGUCCCAAAGACAAUAAUUUAAAAUACUAACUUUUUGUUGAAAUUUGUACUAGACAGUUGAAAUCCUUAACUUUAUUAAAUACUUAAUUUUGAAUUCUUAAAGAAUAGUCUUAAUAUAUUUGUCGUUAAAACACUUAUUUAGAAUUAUAUACUCUUAAAAAAAGGUAUUUACUCGAAUCUCUUCACACUUCGUAGAAUCCAUUGAGAUUCUAAUGUGCCUCGCUUUUAUAGGAAUGACCCAUUCCAUUAUGUUUGCAUUUGUGAUCGUUCAUGAACGCGUAGGUGUUCGCUUUCUCCAAAGUUUGGGACUCAAACCAUUAAAUGACUAUAAAAUUAUCUUACUCAUAUAAGGAUUUGAUUUUAAUUUACUGCUAGCUAGUAUAAAAUAUUAUCGUCUAAUUAUUUAUAUUCACAUCCCUGAGAAAACUAUUAUUAUACUUUUAUUUUAAAAAGCAUUCGACAAAUCUAAAUCUAAUAGACACCAUAAAAUUAAAAAGUUAUUGUCCUAGAAUUAAACCUUUCUUAAUAAUGUAUGAACAUGGUAGUCCAAAUAUCUUUGUAUCAAUGUUGAUACUCCUCCACUGAAAUUUUGAAUUUAAAUUUAAUAAAAGCAUAGUUUGGUGUGAAUAUGAUAUAUGAUUGGGACCGUUCCUUUCACCUUGGUACUCUUUCCUUGUGUACUUAUGUCCUAAAAAGAAGAUUCUGAAAUUGCAGUGUGUUGUGUAUCUAUCUUAGAGUGGGACACACAUGGUUUUUGUGCUGUACAGCUUAGAUUGCAAUUUAAAGAGUUGUGUCUAUCAUGAGUUGUGUCUAUCAUUGGCCUUACUUUACUACCCUAUCUAUCUCCACUCGUCACGCUUUCUACUUCUUAUCUUCAAAAUCAUCACUCCUUACUAUAUAUGAAAGGUCUUCACAAUCUUUGCUUGUAUUAGUUAGUGGAUUUUAAGAGUGUUUAUAUAAUAUAAAUAUGAUUUGGAGAUUGGAGUGUCAAAUUUUAUAAAAUAAAGGAAUAUGUAAUAUAACAAUGUUAAUUUCUUUUGAGAAAAAGUUUUAUCAUUUAUUGUGAUUUUUUUUUUGUUUAAAGAGAAAAUUUAUGCAGUAGUGGGUAAAGGAUAUACAGUGUUUCGAGCUAGUCGAAUGACAACCUUAUCUAGAACCCCUUCACUUAAGAUCGGAGGAUAAAUGGACUCUUGUUAGAAAGAUGUACAUCGAAGCUGAGCCAGUUGCUCUUCUUCAACCAUCAGGUCCAAUCCAAUGGUCUCUUGCACCCCACGUCGCGCCUAUAGUAGAUGUGGUUUCAACUGUCCACCACAUAUAAAUUUGUCUAGGCACUAUAACAGGUACAUUUUCCAUUCACUCUUACACCAUUAUCAUCUCACUGACUUCGGCGUUUGAGUAUCAACCUUGUAUGCAUACUCUGUUUCAUCUUACCAAAGGCUUACGUCACUGUAUCAGAGAGUUUUGGUUCAACACGUCAUCAAUCUUCUAAUCCAUAUCGAAAUAGUGACACCAUCUAUGGGAAACAUUUUUUAAUUCCCAUUAUUUUUCACAUUAAAUUCACCAUAUCCUUUAUGUUGUGUCGUGGUAACCAGUAUUGUCAAUCGAUCACAUUGUCGUUAAUUUUCUCAACUAAUAGUGAUACCUUCCAAAUAAUCUCAAUUAACUACUCAUAGCAACACUGACCCUACCGCCGUUCCUCACCCCCACACAAGAGGUUCUCCCUCCUUCAGUUGGGGGAGGUGAUCUGGUUCUAGUAGAGUCUUCGGCCGUUUCAUCUCCUCAGACUCUAAUUCCUCUACCGGCCGACCAAGGUACUUUCUAGGUCAUAUCGUUCUUCCAACCUUUUUCAAUAGUUACUCUAAGACCAAACUUCUAAGUAUCCUCAACUGCAAGCACAAACACCUAAACCAAAAAUGUUUUAGAGCCUUCAACAACUUCAUGUCAUACUAGAAAUUCAAGAAGUGAAUUAACUCAUCACAAUUAUUUAGAAUCUAGUGCAGCAAAAGAAUGCACGCCUUCUGACUAACAGAUUCUUGCAAUUAGAAGAAAAUUAGCAAAUAGCUCAGUCACGAGCUACCACACAAUGUGGGGUAUUGCAUACUUGUAACAUUGGAUCUACACAUAACAUGGUUCUCUGCGACACGACAUCGCAAGACAAAAGGGCUUAUAGAUCUCCAUAACAUCAUCAUCCUCAAGCUCGUCCCUUUCUUCCUCACAGUUCAGGAGGCGGUGAUGAUGUCACACACAUUUCAAGGACUGUUACACUAGGAGAUCUUUGUCAUAUCAAUCUCAAUAGCGGUGGAAAACGGGCAUGAUUAUCAUGUUUAGGUGUGCGCCACAAAAUCCCAUAAAAAACAAGGAGAGACAAGCAAUGUUGAGAGUGCAGGCCUAAAACUUUGACCUACCCCGCAAAAAUAAUAGGAUGGGGCGAAGAGGGGAGGGCCCGCAGGCACUAAGCCUUUAAAUCUUAAAAAUUGCAAAAAUAAAUGUUAAUGCUCACGCCCCUAACCCCCCCCCCCCCCNNNNNNNNNAAAAAAAAAAAUAGGGCGGGGAAGGGCGAACGUAAUAGAGGGUAAAUACCUAAAACCUUGGCUUGCCCCACACAAAAAAAUGCGGGCAAAUCGGGCAUGCUCGAUGGGCUGGGCUAGUUUUUCCAUCCCUAAUUAUUAUAUAAUAGAUAUGUAAAAUCUAAAGGACCAUGACACCUCUCACCACCAGAGGAACCCAUGUUUGAAGCAUAUUAUUGACUAUAAGAUUCCUAAGUCUCUCGAGAAACCAUUAAAGUUGGACAACUACAUCGAAAUCGGAGAUCCAGUUGAGCACAUUGAACAUGUGGAUACCAUGCUUAACACCUUGCGACGAAUGCGGUGAAAUGCAAAUUUUUUGCUCUAACUCUCAAAGAGGCUGAUAUAACGUGGUUUAAAACCCUAUAAGAUAACUUCAUACAUUCUUGGAAUAAACUGUGUGAUGAGUUCACAAAUAGUUCAAAAUGCAAACGUUGAAAUCGAAGACAAUAUCUAUCCUCAUUGAGACUCACUAGAAAAAUAAUGAAACCCUUUUAGAGUGUAUCUUCCAUUUCAUGAUACUAGCAUUAGAAGUAGUUGGAUCCAAUGACAUGCUCAAAUGAUGGAUAUUUGAUGAAUAACUGAGAAUGAAUUGUAUGUUCCGUGAGAAAUUAGGGUUGAAGGUCGUUGGAAGCAUGAAUGGUCACCUCAGUAGAUCCCAUUGUGUAUUAUUGAAGAAAAGUUAUUAGUUAAAGAUGUGGAGAGAAAUAAAGAGUCAGGGAAUCCCGUGAGUGGAUGAUCCAGAGACAACCAUCAUUGUGAUGAUGCAAAAAAUAUGCUCACCGGGGACCACAAGCUAGGUUAUUUUUUUACGCUAUCCUUAACACUUCGAGAGAAAAUAUUCUACAAGAGUGUGAAAACAUCUUAUUCAAAGAUGUUAGGGUAAGAUUCCCCCACCCCGUCAAGGAGUUUUCCAUAAUAGAUAAGUUAAGGUUUUGCUACUUCCUUCAAAACCAUAUGCAUAACACAAACAAGUACAUUCAUCUAAAAGACACUAUCAUAGAAUUGAUUAAGAAAUGAAGAUUAGGCUAGUAUGCUCAAAAGAAUAAAAGAAAGGAUGAUCAAGGAAAAUGAAAGAGCUCCCCUAGAGAAUCUAAGAGGCAAAGCAACUUAUCAUGAAAGAAAUGGCCCCCCCACUAGGACAAAUUAUCUCUGAAAAAGAUGAUUGAGAUCGUCGAAAAGACCAAAACGAUAAAGAUAAUAACGAAGAUAACGAAGAUAACAAAGAAGUUCAAAGAGGAAAACAUAAAUUCAUAGUUUCCAUUAUAGGUGGAUAUAACUCCAUUGCAUAUAUCACAAGAGGUUUCCCCUUCCUAAAGACAUCAUCUAAGGGGCUUUUGAAAGGGAAUACUUUUUAGGUAAUAAUGGUAGACAAGAAAGAAGAAAAUUCCAAUAAAGAUUAACUAGAAACACCUAUCUUAGGGUUCAUAGAGAGCGAAAAGGUAGGUGAAAUAUCCAAUGAGGCUUAAGCGUAUGUUUGUUUGCGAUAGAAUGGAUGUACUCGAAUUGUACUCUAGCAGUUAACCAUUGCUUGUACGCUCUCACAUGGAGGCUUAAGCUUCGUUCAUGGUAGAACGGAAGUAAAACGUCCUUUUUGAAAAUGUUUUAAACUAAAAAUGAAGCCCAAAGGCAAAAAUGAAUUUGAUGAGGUGUGUUUGUUUUUAUUCUGAAAAAAGAGUCUUGAUUAGAAUCAUACUAAAGUCUAUGAAUAAAGGUGAAUACGAUGAGAAAAUGGGUCAUUCGUCCCGUACCCAAAGAUAUUCAUAAUGAGGAUAUGAAUUCUCCAAUCUCAUCCCUUCUCCAUUGCUUAAGGCUCGUAGCGUACAAUUCUAAUUGCAUUGUUAAUUAUUUUUUUAUUUUAUUCACAAAAUGGUUUUAGUUUUACUCAUAAAGAAAACACAAUGGAAGAGAGAAACCCUAUAAGGUUGAAGUCUAAUCCCAGUCCACCUUCCACAUACGUGUAGAAAAACUUGUCAAUUAUUUGAUUUAAAUUGCACUAAAGUCUAUAAAUAGAGGUGAAUACGAUGAUCAACUGGGUCAUUUGUCCCGUACCCAAAAAUAUUCAGAAUGUGGAUAGGAAUUGUCCACUCUCACUCCUUCUCUAUUACUUAAGGCUCAUGACGUGCAAUUUACAUCAUAACUGAUGAGUGUUGAAGUUGAGUGUCCUUGCAGCUUCCUGUGAUGAAAGGUUGCUUUUGAAGAAAGAAGACUUGACAAUCAAUUGGAAUUGAAUUGUGCUAAAGUCUAUGAAUAGAGGAGAAUAUGAUGAGCAAAUGGGUCAUCUGUCAUAUAUCCAAAGAUAUUCAGAAUGAGGAUAGGAAUUCUCCAUUCUCACUCCUUCUCUAUUGCUUAAGGCUCAUGGCACACAACUUGAUUUUUGAUUGACAAGUGUUGAGUUCACCUUUGUUGUGCUUGAACAGUAGUCAAGUCUAUCUUGUACUGAUUAGAGUUGAAUGAAGUCUUGAAUCUUGAGGUCUUGUAAAAUUCUUGAGAUCCAAUAUAUCUAGUACAACUUGAAAACAAGGGACUUUCCCUAUCAAGUGAUCAAGGGUCUUUUGUCACUUGAAUAUGCUUGGGGAAUUGAACACAGUCAAAGGAUUUAAUUGGUCAAAGCGAAUUUUGAUUAACUUAAUUAGUUGGGGUGGAAAAUUAGUUGAAAAUUAAUGCACAAAGAGAUAAGGAAGGACUAGCAACCUUGGGUUUACUCAACUGAAAUAAAUUCUAAAGUCUUAAACUUAAGGGGUCAUGUCAUGGGUUAGUAUGCCAUACAAUCAUAGAAUCAGAUCAAAGUUCUAACAAGAAACAAAUGAUUAAAAAUGCCAAUUUAAACCUAAAAGAUUAUGAGCAAGAUUAAUUCUAAUCAAAUAAAAUUCUAAGUCAAGAAUUCAAAACAUGAAUUAAAAUCUACACAUGGAAGAAUUAAGAUCAAAUCACACCAUGUAAUAAACAAUCAUCAUGUACAAUUGACAAUUUUAACCCUAAAACAAACUAGGUUAAAACAUAUAUUUCUAUCAUUUUCAAUUAAUCAAGAAUUAAUCCACAUCAUUUAAUUCUAACUAACUCAAUUAAUCAUGUAAAAAAACUAAUUAAUUUCUAUUAACAACAUGCAUCAAUAUGAUCAAUCAUCGUGAAAGAAAAAAAUUAAAAGAAAACAAAUAAAAAAACAAGCAAAAGUGAGUACAAGCAUGGGGGUAUGCUUUAGCAAAAUAGGGUGCAAUUAGUAGAACCCGUGCAUGGCCCAAACAAGACCCAUUACAACUUUAGCAAAGUAUGAACAAGGGAGGUAUGAAGAUAUGCAUGUGUGAAUAGUUGGAUCUAUGGGUCUGGCUACACGGAGCCCACGACAAGGCAAUGCAAAAUGAAAUGAUUCACCAUCCAAAAACACAUGCCAAUCAAGAACACGUUAAUCACUUUAAACAAUUCAAACUUAAAAUUAAAGUUAACUUCUCCCUCCAACUAACCUCACCCUCCCCUCCACCGCGCCAGAGGUCACCUCCUGCAGCGCCGGAGACCUAACGUCCAAAAAAAUCACAUCACCUUCCUUACCUCAUUGACCUGAAUCCAAAAACCACCAUGGAACAAGCUAAUUCUUCAUCAGCAGUCUGAAUCGAAGCAAUUCCUUGAAGAACCCUAACACUCUAAACUAAAAGUUAAAUCACGCACGUUAGAAAUUAAAGCCAUAGAGGUUAGGGCUUCGAUUCCCCUAACCGAAACCUACAUCCUGGUAACCAGCCCAAAGAAAACAGCUAAGAAAGGGAUGAUACUCAUCGGAGAAGACGCGGAGGUCACCGGAAUCAGGUAAACUCUUAUGAACCUUUCUUCUUCUUCUUCUCGAUUCUCUUCUUCUUUUUUCGAGAUCUUCUGUGACUAAGUAAUGGUUCUGAGAUUGAGCCUUAGGAGUGUGAAAUUAUGUGUGUGUGUGUGGUGGUUGUGUGUGUUGUGUGUGUGAGAGAGAGAGAGAGAGAGAGAGAGAGAGAGAGAGAGAGGUUGAAGAGAGAGAGAGGAUGAAGAGAGAGAGAGGAUGAAGCUUUGAGUCUAGGUCGAUGAAAAAAAUGAAGAGUCUUAUGAAAUGAUUGAGGGUAUGAAUUUAUAGGAUUGGGGAUUAAUAGAGUAGUCUAAAUCUGCUAAAUCGUUGAGAUGAGAAGUUGUUGGAGGUGAUUCACGAAGUUAGUUUCAGUUAGAAUUGAAAGUUAGUUAUGUUUGUUUUAGUUAGAUUCAGUUAAGAUUUUGUUAAAGGGAAAAAUUCCAGUUAAGAUGAAAUGGAUAAAUUAGGGGGAACGGUUCAGUUAGAGUGAAUUGAGCUUAAUGUGAAGUGAAUGAAGUGGAUAUAUAAACUUGAGUGGAAUAAGUUAAAUGCUUUGUAACUGAUAUUUUGAAUCACUGAGUUUUAAUUUUAUGUUAAAUGUAAAAAUGAGUUGUGUUAGUUCAGUUAAUUGUGAAACUCUCGAUUUUCUAUUAGACUGUGAGGUUAAUUGGUGUUAGGUGAUGUCAAUCAGUUAGAUGUAAAUGGAAUUAUAGUUUAAUUGCAGUUAGUUAAUGAAGCCUUAUUGUGUUAGAUGGAAAAGUUCAGUAGUACCCUGUUAUGAUUUGCUGAAUUGCUAUAAUGUUGGAUUUGUGAAUUAUGUUGUAGGAUGACUUGUACUACUGCUCAAUUUGAUUAAAUGGACAGUUCAUUUUGUUGUUGUGAUGUAUUGAACGACUAUGAUUAUUAUAUGGCCUGUUGUUGCUUGUUUAUGAUCUACUGUGUUGGAUGGUAGGCAAUGUUGCACUGAGCUGUUAGGCUUGAAAUGAAUGUUGUUUGGUUGCAUUAUUAUAGUGUGUAUGUGACUGUUUUUUACUGUUAUGUGUUGCAUGAUUUAUGCUGCUUGCUCGCAUAUGCUUGGAAUUAUGAAUGAAGGUAUGAUGUGAAUGUUAGGUUAAUGCUUUUGGUUAUGCUGGUCUUGAAAUGGUAAUGGUUGUCAUGUUUUUCAUGUGUUGUAAUGCAAUGUAUGGCCUUGGCAUGCUUAUUGUUUGGAAAUGUUUUGGUCUUGAAUGCAUAUAAUGGAAAUGUUUGGAAAUGCUAUGGAUUAAAAUGUUAGGGUUGACUUUGGAAAGGGUUUGAAUUGGUUGAUGUUAUGGUUGAAAUGUUCAAAAAUAACACAUUGGUUUUUGGUUUUGGUUUUGUAGGAAAUGGAUGGACCAAUGCAAGGAUUCCUUGUUCUUGAAGAAACAAUUGGAGAUUAGGUUUUAGGAAUGGGAAAAAAUAUGAGUUGAAUUUGGUCAACUGGUUGACCAAAAAGUCAAUAGUUGACCAAAAAUAAACUUAUGCAAACAUGUAGUUUUAUUUGUAAUAUUUUCAAUGCAAUGUGUUGUGGACAAUGUAAUCAAUGAAUCUUAUAAAUGCAAUGUACUUCUUAGUUUAAAAUGUUCUAAUGAAACAAUGACCAUUUUCAAAUUCAAUAUGAACAAAUGCCUUAGAUGAAUUCUAGAAAAAAAUUGGAUGAGA